Molecule: small RNA, 78 nt
Filed under: Flavobacterium sp. 9
Lineage: Bacteria; Pseudomonadati; Bacteroidota; Flavobacteriia; Flavobacteriales; Flavobacteriaceae
Description: Flavo-1 RNA
Rfam family: Flavo-1 RNA
Source: RNAcentral
GUCUAGCCCCGAUAGAACUGAAAAUCCUUUUGUCCCGUUGUUUGGGACAAAAGAUUGUAAGGGAUAGCGGGACUAAUG